RNAcentral lists this long non-coding RNA (397 nucleotides) under Olea europaea (common olive). Its description in RNAcentral is "long non-coding RNA (OEUR_LNC002319)". Lineage: Eukaryota; Viridiplantae; Streptophyta; Magnoliopsida; Lamiales; Oleaceae. The record is from RNAcentral.
AACAAAGUUGAAUGUACAGUUCUCAAUGUAGAACAUCAAAUUGAAAAACAGGAACAUCAUAAUGCAUCACCGGAAAAUGAAACUAAAAGACCACAAAUAAUUUAUUCUAUUCAGAGUACAAUUCCAACUUGUACUCAAUUUACCUCAGAAUCUUUUUUCUUCAUUAUAAGGCUAUGUAUGAUCACGGAUGAGAAGAGGAAGGAUAAUGUACCAUUCACUCUGUAAAAGUAUACAUAUUAUCUACUCUACCUUGUUUGGUAAAGGAUUUGUAAUUUAGUUCCAUACUCUAAUUUUGAGUCUUAGGUUUUGCUAAGGUUACUUAAGUCUUUUCAGCACUCCAAAGCUCCCAAUUCGGUUUGGGAAGCUCCCAUUUGGAUAUCUGUUGUUGAUUCUCAAC